UUGGAGGGCAAGUCUGGYYCCYAGCAGMCGCGGUAAUUCCAGCUCCAAUAGCGUAUAUUAAAGUUGUUGCAGUUAAAAAGCCCGUAGUUGAACUUCAGGCCUGGCUGGGUGGUCUGCCUAACGGCAUUGUACUGCUCGGCUGGGUCUUACCUCUUGGUGAGCCAGCAUGCCCUUCACUGGGUGUGUUGGGGAACCAGGACUUUUACCUUGAGAAAAUUARAGUGUUCAAAGCAGGCAUUUGCUCGAAUACAUUAGCAUGGAAUAAUAGAAUAGGACGUGCGGUUCUAUUUUGUUGGUUUCUARAGUCGCCGUAAUGAUUAAUAGGGAUAGUUGGGGGCAUUUGUAUUGCGUUGCUAGAGGUMAAAUUCUUGGAUUUACGCAAGACAAACUACUGCGAAAGCAUUUGCCAAGGAUGUUUUCAUUAAUCAAGGACGAAGGUUAGGGGAUCGAAAACGAUCAGAUACCGUUGUAKUCUUAACCAUAAACUAUGCCGACUAGGGAUCGGAUGAUGUUAAUUUUUWAAUGACUCAUUCGGCGCCUUACGGGAAAC
RNAcentral lists this ribosomal RNA (550 nucleotides) under uncultured fungus. RNAcentral describes it as "SSU rRNA". It matches the Rfam family "Eukaryotic small subunit ribosomal RNA", at positions 550 to 1109 of the family's 1831-position model. The record is from RNAcentral. Lineage: Eukaryota; Fungi.